This 23-nucleotide ribosomal RNA is filed under the name Phaeoacremonium minimum. RNAcentral describes it as "partial 26S ribosomal RNA". The record is from RNAcentral. Lineage: Eukaryota; Fungi; Ascomycota; Sordariomycetes; Togniniales; Togniniaceae. RNAcentral also lists the same sequence under 1 other name.
GUGACCUCGGAUCAGGUAGGAAU